CAAACUGUUGGGAUUAAAGGCAUGAGCCACUGAAACCAGCUCCCAUUUAUAUGUUCAGCAAAUACUUUCUGAGCAUCUUUUCUUUGCAAAGCAUUACUGCGCGUUGAGAAUACAGCAGGGACCAAGAUGGACAUGCUCACUGCCCUCACAGAGAUUAGUUAAGUGAGGGCCACAGAGAAGAAAACAAGCAAUUCUAACAUAGGCAGGAUCCAUGCAGUGACUGAGAAAGCCAUAAGGAUCUGGGAAAAGGGGAGGGACAGGCUCCUGAUGUGGAAGAAGAGGUGGGAGAAGUUAGUGGGUGAAGACAAGCUGAGGUGAGUAAGGUGCAGGGAGCGAGGGGGAAGGGUUUCCCAGCUCAGGCUCACCCUAAGCAGAACAAGCAUAACACAUCAAAUGUCCAGCUCCCAGUUCCAUCCAGCUGGACGUAGAACUUAUCGUCAACAGAUGAAACUAGACAGUCAAGCAGCAGCCCAGAUAAGACAGCAGUCAGAUAAGACAGCAGUCAGAUAAGACGGGUCUUUUACACUUUACCAAGUGGCUCGAACUUUACCCUCAGGUCAUUGAGAAACAACAGGGAAGGGAGACUUUAUUUAUUUUUUUAACUUACUUUAUUUUUUAAUGUUUUGUUUUAAUUUGUGUAGGUACAUAAUAGGUGUACAUGUUUAUGGGUACAUGAGGUAUUUGAAUAUAGGUAUGCAAUGCAUAAAAAUCACAUCAUGGAAAAUGGGGCAUUCAUCUCCUCGAACGUUUAUCCUUUGUGUUACAAACAACCCAAUUAAUCUCUUUUACUUAUUUUCAAAUGUAUAAUUCUAUUAUUGUUGACUAUAGUCACCCUGUUGUGCUAUCAAAUACUAGGUCUUAUUCAUCCUUUCUAACUAUGUUUUUUGUAUCUAUUAACCAUCCCCACCUCUCACACACCCUCCCACUAUGGGAAGGAGGGUUAUUUAUUUAUUUAUUUUUGAGACAGAGGCUUGCUCUGUCACCCAGGCUGGAGUGCAGUGGCAUGAUCUCAGCUCACUGCAAACUCCACCUCCUGGGUUCAAGCAAUUCUCCUGUCUCAGCCUCCUAAGUAGCUGGGAUUAGAGGUGCCCACCACCACGCCUGGCUAAUUUUUAUAUUUUUAGUAGAGAUGGGGUUUCACCAUAUUGGCCAGGCUGGUCUUGAACUCCUGACCUCAAGUGACCCUCCUGCCUGGGCCUCCCAAAGUGCUGGGAUUACAAGCAUGAGUCACUGUGCCCAGCCAGGAAGGAGGAUUUUAAAUAGGCAUGUGACACAGCCCAGUUUGUAGUUUAGAAGGAUCCUCGUGGCUUUGGUGUGACAAGCAGAUGAGAGCUGGGCAAGACUAGAGAUUGAGAGCCAGAAAGAAGACUCUCAUUGUCUGAAGGAAAAAAAAACAACAUGCCAGGCUUACUGACAGAAGCUUUUACAGGAAACAAAACCCACGACAACUUCUCUCGUCAAGGGCUCUUCAGACUGUUUCUAAACACUCACAGGAAGGCCAGGCUGACAUUUUACACAUGAUUGACUGAGAGCGCUAUGCUUGCUUCUGGAUAUGUGCGUGCUUGUAUACGUGUGCAACUGUGUGUGUGCACGCAUAUGCCUGCAUGCAAGCCUACGGGUGCUUACCUGGUCCUGUAGCUCAGCCUAAACAAAGAUUCAGACUUGCUUAUGCAUAAAUAAUGAGUUGGCGGGGCCAGAAGCUGCCUAGGGUCUAUUUAUAUAGAUUGAUUUGCAUGUGCCAAGGGGAAUUGGGAAGAUACAGUGGAGAAGACAGCCUGGUGAUUGGUUCAGGGGCCAGGAUAGCAGCUGAACCCAUGCAAUCCUCCCUGAGACUUUAGUGAGUCUGCAAGGAAUGAGCCCUCUCUGUUUGCAAGACCUCCAAGGCCAGCAGGAUAAAAGCUUGGCAACCGUGAAGUGAGAGUCAUCCUUAGAAUGAAGCCAGCACAGAGGAGAGCAGAAGAAGGAUGGAGAGAGAGACUAGUCCUAAUGUCCUUGUGUGGUGGCUUGGCUAGCACCUGCUGUGCCUAUCUUCCCACUGGGAGCCUUAGUCUCAUGCCCAGUUGAUCCCUCCCCUGGUGUCAACUAAGCUUGAGUUGGAUUAUCUGCUACUUGCUGAUGCUCCACUCACAGUCUCCCUGCAUUAUCCCAGCACCUGAGACAUUUCUGAUUAGAUUGGCAUCCAUGGGGGUGUGAAAGUCACAUUCUCAGAGAAAGAAAGUGAUGAACCACCUGUACUGCAGAACCCACCAGUAACAACCCCACCCUACACCCUAGUCCAGGUUCCUCAGCUGUCUGUCAAAUCCAGGAGCCAGGACACCAGGUGGAGUCCUGCAACCUUUUGCAAUCUCUGUGUCAGAGGUAUUAGAACAAGAAUGACUCCAUCUUGAAAACAGGCUGGGUAGAAUGAGGCUUAGACUUACUGGGCUGCAUUCCCAAGAGGUUAAGGCAUUCCUAGUCACAGAAUGAGAUAGACGGUUGGCACAAGAUACAGAUCAUAAAGACCUUACUGAUAAAACAGGUUGCAGUUAAGAAGCCGGCCAAAACCCAUCAAAACCAAGAUGGUGACAAGAGUGACCUCUGGUCAUCCUCACAGCUCAUUAUAAGCUAGUUACAAUAUAUUAGCAUGCUAAAAGACACUCCCACCAGUGCUGUGACAGUUUACAGAUGCCAUGGCAACAUCAGGAAAUUACCCUAUAUGGUCUAAAAAGGCUAAGAACCCUCAGUUCUGGGAGUUGUCCACUCCUUACUGUGAAAACUCAUGAAGAAUCAACCUCUUGUUUAGCAUAUAAUCAAGAAAUAACCAUAAAAAUGGGCAACCAGAAGCUCUUGAGAAUGCUCUGCCUAGGGAGUAGCCAUUCUUUUAUUCCUUUACUGUCUUAAUAAACUUGCUUUCACUGUAUG
Molecule: long non-coding RNA, 2901 nt
Filed under: Homo sapiens (human)
Lineage: Eukaryota; Metazoa; Chordata; Mammalia; Primates; Hominidae
Description: HSALNT0229172
Source: RNAcentral